RNAcentral lists this unclassified non-coding RNA (371 nucleotides) under uncultured bacterium. RNAcentral describes it as "contains 16S-23S intergenic spacer region". The record is from RNAcentral.
UCCGGCUUAACGCCGGCAGUCUCCCUAGAGUGCCCAACUGAAUGGUGGCAACUAAGGACGAGGGUUGCGCUCGUUGCGGGACUUAACCCAACACCUCACGGCACGAGCUGACGACAGCCAUGCACCACCUGUGCAACACCCUCGAAGGCGACUCCGUUUCGGGAGCUUGCAGUUGCAUGUCAAGCCCUGGUAAGGUUCUUCGCGUUGCAUCGAAUUAAGCCACAUGCUCCACCGCUUGUGCGGGCCCCCGCCAAUUCCUUUGAGUUUCAACCUUGCGGCCGUAGUCCCCAGGCGGUUCACUUAAUGCGUUAGCUGCGGCACCGAGGCAUACACCCCAACACCUAGUGAACAUCGUUUAAGGCCAAGACUAC